This 655-nucleotide ribosomal RNA is filed under the name uncultured bacterium. RNAcentral describes it as "partial 16S ribosomal RNA". The stretch from base 1 to 546 matches the Rfam family "Bacterial small subunit ribosomal RNA", at positions 338 to 873 of the family's 1533-position model. The record is from RNAcentral.
CCUACGGGAGGCAGCAGUAGGGAAUCUUCGGCAAUGGGGGCAACCCUGACCGAGCAACGCCGCGUGAGUGAAGAAGGUUUUCGGAUCGUAAAGCUCUGUUGUAAGUCAAGAACGGGUGUGAGAGUGGAAAGUUCACACUGUGACGGUAGCUUACCAGAAAGGGACGGCUAACUACGUGCCAGCAGCCGCGGUAAUACGUAGGUCCCGAGCGUUGUCCGGAUUUAUUGGGCGUAAAGCGAGCGCAGGCGGUUUGAUAAGUCUGAAGUUAAAGGCUGUGGCUCAACCAUAGUUCGCUUUGGAAACUGUCAAACUUGAGUGCAGAAGGGGAGAGUGGAAUUCCAUGUGUAGCGGUGAAAUGCGUAGAUAUAUGGAGGAACACCGGUGGCGAAAGCGGCUCUCUGGUCUGUAACUGACGCUGAGGCUCGAAAGCGUGGGGAGCGAACAGGAUUAGAUACCCUGGUAGUCCACGCCGUAAACGAUGAGUGCUAGGUGUUGGAUCCUUUCCGGGGAUUCAGUGCCGCNGCACGACGAUAAGACGACNCCGCCGUCGGGAGGGUAACGGUACCGACCGAAGGUUAGUAAACGUUAACGAAAGUAAGAAGUUAGUUACGGCGUUGAGACGUUAGCCGACGGACGACGACGAGGGGAGGAGGAG